Molecule: ribosomal RNA, 510 nt
Filed under: uncultured bacterium
Lineage: Bacteria
Description: partial 16S ribosomal RNA
Rfam family: Bacterial small subunit ribosomal RNA
Source: RNAcentral
GACGAACGCUGGCGGCGUGCUUAACACAUGCCAGUCGAACGAAGAGCGAUGGAAGCUUGCUUCUAUCAAUCUUAGUGGCGCACGGGUGAGUAACGCGUAAUCAACCUGCCCUUCAGAGGGGGACAACAGUUGGAAACGACUGCUAAUACCGCAUACGAUCUAAUCUCGGCAUCGAGGAUAGAUGAAAGGUGGCCUCUACAUGUAAGCUAUCACUGAAGGAGGGGAUUGCGUCUGAUUAGCUAGUUGGAGGGGUAACGGCCCACCAAGGCGAUGAUCAGUAGCCGGUCUGAGAGGAUGAACGGCCACAUUGGGACUGAGACACGGCCCAGACUCCUACGGGAGGCAGCAGUGGGGAAUCUUCCGCAAUGGACGAAAGUCUGACGGAGCAACGCCGCGUGAGUGAUGACGGCCUUCGGGUUGUAAAGCUCUGUUAAUCGGGACGAAAGGCCUUCUUGCGAAUAGUGAGAAGGAUUGACGGUACCGGAAUAGAAAGCCACGGCUAACUACGUG